CCUACGGGAGGCAGCAGUGGGGAAUAUUGGAUAAUGGGGGGAACCCUGAUCCAGCCAUGCCGCGUGUGUGAAGAAGGCCCUCGGGUUGUAAAGCACUUUCAGUGAGGAAGAACGCCUGGUGGUUAAUACCCAUCAGGAAAGACAUCACUCACAGAAGAAGCACCGGCUAACUCCGUGCCAGCAGCCGCGGUAAUACGGAGGGUGCGAGCGUUAAUCGGAAUUACUGGGCGUAAAGCGCGCGUAGGUGGCUUGAUAAGCCGGUUGUGAAAGCCCCGGGCUCAACCUGGGAACGGCAUCCGGAACUGUCAAGCUAGAGUGCAGGAGAGGAAGGUAGAAUUCCCGGUGUAGCGGUGAAAUGCGUAGAGAUCGGGAGGAAUACCAGUGGCGAAGGCGGCCUUCUGGACUGACACUGACACUGAGGUGCGAAAGCGUGGGUAGCAAACAGGAUUAGAUACCCCGGUAGUC
RNAcentral lists this ribosomal RNA (465 nucleotides) under Vreelandella stevensii. RNAcentral describes it as "partial 16S ribosomal RNA". It matches the Rfam family "Bacterial small subunit ribosomal RNA", at positions 338 to 795 of the family's 1533-position model. Lineage: Bacteria; Pseudomonadati; Pseudomonadota; Gammaproteobacteria; Oceanospirillales; Halomonadaceae. The record is from RNAcentral.